UAUAUCCAGCCGGGGUGUUGGUGUGGCAGUGACGGUGCCACUUAACAACUCUGGCCUGGCCAAGUGGGGCAUCCACCUAGUGUGGUUCACGCUCGCUUCCCUCGCUACUAUCAUCAUGCUCUUCUGGACGGACUUCUUCACCGUGUUAGGCAAGGCUGGGUCACCCCACAAGUUUGUCAAACUCACGUCAGCUGGACUUGGGUGUCACUUCCACUGGGGAGCAGAGUGUGGCCCACGCUCUACGGCUGGCUUAUCGGUUUCUACAUAACAUUUCUCGUCCUUGUGGGCCGAGUGAUGGCCGCCUCACACUCUAUGAUCUUCACGUUAGCAACCACUUCUGUCGCCUUACCUGUCCAGGCUCUGUGGUGGGCCUUGUUCUGUACUGGCGUCCCUCGGAAUGUUAUGGCGGCCACAGGUCACGGGAGAGCUUAUCUUCAGCCUACUGGGACUGCCCAUCAUGAUAGCCUGCUUGGGAUUCUGGAGUCAUGUGGACAGAAGAGAGAAACUUCGAACGAACAACUUUCUUCUUACUUAACAUAAUGAAGUGUGUGUGUGUGGGAUGUUUGAUUUGUCUUGUGUGGCAAUAGGGAGGUGUGAGGGUGUUGUACGGUGGCUCGAAUAACUACUGUAUCUGUCGAAGGAGAUUAAGAAUCAUCUGAAGAUUAACCACCCUACUCCUAACCUAACUAGUCUAUCCUAACCUAAUGUUAACUAAACCUAACACUAACCUAACCUCCCUAACUCUGGUUCAUCUUCAAGUGGCUCAGUAUAAUACAGCAUUUUCACACAUUAGUGGUGGCAACUUUAAUGAGGAAGCAAAAUUAAGUAGGAUGAGUUUUGUAAUUGAAUUUGAUACAGUUUAUUUAGUGUUAAAAAAUUGUGGUUGAGAAUAUUGAGUGAAGUUCUCUUGUCUUAUGAGAAUUAAUAUGUAAAUAUUUUAUAUUAUCUGCAAUAUGUAGUUAUAUAUAUAUGUCUAAUGGUGUAUAUAACACAGUAAUGAUCGACUCCACCGCCUAACUCUUGUUCCUGGCCGGGUCUUUUGAGAACGACAAGUUGGUUGGGGUGGAGAGGGGGAAUGGUGGUGUUGUGGGCGGUGCUAUAUGACACAAGCUCCUCACCUCAGAGGGAGGUUAUUGAAGAAAGCAGGACAAUUAAUAAAAGAAGGAAGGGGAGUAAGUUUUGUCAAUACAAUAUCUUAAGUUUUUAUGGUUGAAAGAGCAAUAGAUGGGGAUCCAUAUUAUUAUAUUGUGAUCCAUUCAUUUAUUUUUUCAGGUUGUUGUUCAGGUUUUAAACAACAGUAAUUAGAUAUUUAUAAUAACGUUGAUAUGAGGAGAAAUAUUGAAAAUACGUGGGUGGAAAUACCGUUUAUUUAUUUUUAAUUUUUACCAACGCGGGUCCUGUAGAAUCUCAACCCCCUGUCCAAUGUCCUCCCUUUACUGUAACCUCCCUAGGUCUUCCUGUUGGCGAGGACACGUGGUCGUAGAUAAUGGAUUGGUUCCUCCUAAACCGCUCCCACUCGGCCCUGUGU
Long non-coding RNA from Homarus americanus (American lobster), 1528 nucleotides. RefSeq lists it as uncharacterized. NCBI's taxonomy places the organism in Eukaryota, Metazoa, Arthropoda, Malacostraca, Decapoda, Nephropidae. The record is from RefSeq and is a predicted model, not a curated record. The transcript has 4 exons.